Long non-coding RNA from Anguilla anguilla (European eel), 827 nucleotides. RefSeq lists it as uncharacterized. Lineage: Eukaryota; Metazoa; Chordata; Actinopteri; Anguilliformes; Anguillidae. The transcript is spliced from 3 exons. The record is from RefSeq and is a predicted model, not a curated record.
AUUACCUUUAGGCGUUGUUUUAUACUGUCAACAAGCAGUGACCAAGCAGCAAAAAUUUAAGAAAACGAACAGAGAACUAUUCAGUUAACGCUGAAGGUGCUGUGUUGAGCCUGUCGUUCUCCACUGUAUAAACCGUUCUGGAGCGGUAACGGUAGAUGUAACGGUGGUUCACUUUAGCCCAGCUUCCAUAGUCUACAGUCUACCAGAAAACUGCUCAGUUAUAGAUACGAGGCAACUUCUGUUUUCCGUUGUUCGUUGUUUUGUGAAAUUCAGAAGUCGCCUAAACCAGAUGGCUAAAACCAGUAGUAGGCCGAUGUACACUCCCCGGUUUGGGAGUCAGUUAUCUUUGAGAUCUACCAGGAAACAUAAACUUGGAGAGAAGUCUCCAUUAGCGGCUGCUAACGCCAAGCUUUGGCCUGCAGACCGCGAACAAACUGCAAACUCGGGAAUGGCGCGGAGAGCCAAGGGAAUGAAAGCAGCUAACGCUAAACUGUUCUCCACAACAAGAAAAGAAGGACCUGUCACCAUAAGGAGCAUUCCACAACAACAUCCAAAUACGUGUCCAAAAACCUUAACAGAAAAAAAGGACAUCCCACAUAGGGAGGUAUCAGGGCAUUCCAACACUCAAAGGGAGUGCUGUGAAGCAGGCUGUUCUCAGGACCAUCUCUAAGAUGCUGGAGGAGAACGGGGCCAUCAGGAGGAGACUCACAGCGUGCAGAGAGGAGAGACGCACAGGCACAGAAUGGAUCAGUACGCUGUGAUCUGACUGGGCAAGAUGAAAAUGGAGACAUCACCAGCAUCCCACAGAAUAGUGUGCAAUGUUGUAG